ACAGCUGAUGAGUCCCAAAUAGGACGAAACGUGCAUCCUGGAU
This 43-nucleotide non-coding RNA is filed under the name Schistosoma curassoni. The record is from RNAcentral. Lineage: Eukaryota; Metazoa; Platyhelminthes; Trematoda; Strigeidida; Schistosomatidae.